This 253-nucleotide ribosomal RNA is filed under the name uncultured bacterium. RNAcentral's name for it is "partial 16S ribosomal RNA". It matches the Rfam family "Bacterial small subunit ribosomal RNA", at positions 524 to 776 of the family's 1533-position model. The record is from RNAcentral.
UACGUAGGGUGCAAGCGUUGUCCGGAAUUAUUGGGCGUAAAGAGCUCGUAGGCGGUCUGUCGCGUCUGCUGUGAAAACUCGGGGCUUAACCCCGGGCCUGCAGUGGGUACGGGCAGACUAGAGUGCGGUAGGGGAGACUGGAAUUCUCGGUGUAGCGGUGAAAUGCGUAGAUAUCAAGAGGAACACCUGCGGCGAAGGCGGGUUGCUGGGCUGACACUGACGCUGAGGCGCGAAAGCCAGGGGAGCGAACGGG